UACAGAGGGGGCUAGCGUUAUUCGGAAUUAUUGGGCGUAAAGGGCGCGUAGGCGGCCACGCGUGUCUUUCGUGAAAUCCCUCGGCUUAACUGAGGACGUGCGGAAGAAACUGCGAGGCUCGAGUCCGGGAGAGGGGGGUGGAAUUCCCAGUGUAGCGGUGAAAUGCGUAGAUAUUGGGAGGAAUACCAGUGGCGAAGGCGGCUCCCUGGACCGGUACUGACGCUGAGGCGCGAAAGCGUGGGUAGCAAACAGG
This 253-nucleotide ribosomal RNA is filed under the name uncultured bacterium. RNAcentral's name for it is "partial 16S ribosomal RNA". It matches the Rfam family "Bacterial small subunit ribosomal RNA", at positions 524 to 776 of the family's 1533-position model. The record is from RNAcentral.